This 252-nucleotide ribosomal RNA is filed under the name uncultured bacterium. RNAcentral's name for it is "partial 16S ribosomal RNA". It matches the Rfam family "Bacterial small subunit ribosomal RNA", at positions 524 to 776 of the family's 1533-position model. The record is from RNAcentral.
UACGGAGGAUGCGAGCGUUAUCCGGAUUUAUUGGGUUUAAAGGGUGCGUAGGCGGUCCGGAAAGUCAGCGGUAAAAGCCCGGGGCUCAACCCCGGCGAGCCGUUGAAACUGUCGGACUAGAGACGGCGAGAAGUACGCGGAAUGCGCGGUGUAGCGGUGAAAUGCAUAGAUAUCGCGCAGAACUCCGAUUGCGAAGGCAGCGUACCGGCGCCGGACUGACGCUGAGGCACGAAAGCGUGGGGAGCAAACAGG